GACGAACGCUGGCGGCGUGCUUAACACAUGCAAGUCGAACGGAAGGGCCCUGCUUUUGUGGGGUGCUCGAGUGGCGAACGGGUGAGUAACACGUGAGUAACCUGCCCUUGACUUUGGGAUAACUUCAGGAAACUGGGGCUAAUACCGGAUAGGAGCUCCUGCUGCAUGGUGGGGGUUGGAAAGUUUCGGCGGUUGGGGAUGGACUCGCGGCUUAUCAGCUUGUUGGUGGGGUAGUGGCUUACCAAGGCUUUGACGGGUAGCCGGCCUGAGAGGGUGACCGGCCAAAUGGGGACUGAGAUACGGCCCAGACUCUAACGGAGGGCAGCAGUGGGAAUAUUGCACAAUGGGCGGAAGCCUGAUGCAGCAACGCCGCGUGCGGGAUGACGGCCUUCGGGUUGUAAACCGCUUUCGCCUGUGACGAAGCGUGAGUGACGGUAAUGGGUAAAGAAGCACCGGCUAACUACGUG
RNAcentral lists this ribosomal RNA (467 nucleotides) under uncultured bacterium. RNAcentral's name for it is "partial 16S ribosomal RNA". It matches the Rfam family "Bacterial small subunit ribosomal RNA", at positions 28 to 507 of the family's 1533-position model. The record is from RNAcentral.